GACGAACGCUGGCGGCGUGCUUAACACAUGCAAGUCGAACGGAAAGGCCCUGCUUGCAGGGUACUCGAGUGGCGAACGGGUGAGUAACACGUGGGUGAUCUGCCCUGCACUUCGGGAUAAGCCUGGGCAACUGGGUCUAAUACCGGAUAGGAGCCAUUUUUAGUGUGAUGGUUGGAAAGUUUUUUCGGUGUAGGAUGAGCUCGCGGCCUAUCAGCUUGUUGGUGGGGUAAUGGCCUACCAAGGCGGCGACGGGUAGCCGGCCUGAGAGGGUGGACGGCCACAUUGGGACUGAGAGACGGCCCAGACUCCGACGGGAGGCAGCAGUGGGGAAUAUUGAACAAUGGGCGCAAGCCUGAUGCAGCGACGCCGCGUGGGGGAUGACGGCCUUAGGGUUGUAAACUCCUUUCGCUAGGGACGAAGCUUUUUGUGACGGUACCUAGAUAAGAAGCACCGGCUAACUACGUG
Molecule: ribosomal RNA, 465 nt
Filed under: uncultured bacterium
Lineage: Bacteria
Description: partial 16S ribosomal RNA
Rfam family: Bacterial small subunit ribosomal RNA
Source: RNAcentral